This 879-nucleotide ribosomal RNA is filed under the name Escherichia coli. Its description in RNAcentral is "partial 23S ribosomal RNA". It matches the Rfam family "Bacterial large subunit ribosomal RNA", at positions 1920 to 2798 of the family's 2925-position model. The record is from RNAcentral. Lineage: Bacteria; Pseudomonadati; Pseudomonadota; Gammaproteobacteria; Enterobacterales; Enterobacteriaceae.
CCGGUAAACGGCGGCCGUAACUAUAACGGUCCUAAGGUAGCGAAAUUCCUUGUCGGGUAAGUUCCGACCUGCACGAAUGGCGUAAUGAUGGCCAGGCUGUCUCCACCCGAGACUCAGUGAAAUUGAACUCGCUGUGAAGAUGCAGUGUACCCGCGGCAAGACGGAAAGACCCCGUGAACCUUUACUAUAGCUUGACACUGAACAUUGAGCCUUGAUGUGUAGGAUAGGUGGGAGGCUUAGAAGUGUGGACGCCAGUCUGCAUGGAGCCGACCUUGAAAUACCACCCUUUAAUGUUUGAUGUUCUAACGUGGACCCGUAAUCCGGGUUGCGGACAGUGUCUGGUGGGUAGUUUGACUGGGGCGGUCUCCUCCUAAAGAGUAACGGAGGAGCACGAAGGUUGGCUAAUCCUGGUCGGACAUCAGGAGGUUAGUGCAAUGGCAUAAGCCAGCUUGACUGCGAGCGUGACGGCGCGAGCAGGUGCGAAAGCAGGUCAUAGUGAUCCGGUGGUUCUGAAUGGAAGGGCCAUCGCUCAACGGAUAAAAGGUACUCCGGGGAUAACAGGCUGAUACCGCCCAAGAGUUCAUAUCGACGGCGGUGUUUGGCACCUCGAUGUCGGCUCAUCACAUCCUGGGGCUGAAGUAGGUCCCAAGGGUAUGGCUGUUCGCCAUUUAAAGUGGUACGCGAGCUGGGUUUAGAACGUCGUGAGACAGUUCGGUCCCUAUCUGCCGUGGGCGCUGGAGAACUGAGGGGGGCUGCUCCUAGUACGAGAGGACCGGAGUGGACGCAUCACUGGUGUUCGGGUUGUCAUGCCAAUGGCACUGCCCGGUAGCUAAAUGCGGAAGAGAUAAGUGCUGAAAGCAUCUAAGCACGAAACUUGCC